AGUUGCUCCGGCGGCGCUCGGGGAGGGAGCCAGCCUGGGGCCCAGGCCCGGGCCACCAUGGCGCUGCCUUCGGGCCCAGCCGCCCUCCGGCACACACUGCUGCUCCUGCCAGCCCUUCUGAGCUCAGGUUGUGGGGAGUUGGAGCCACAAAUAGAUGGUCAGACCUGGGCUGAGCGGGCACUUCGGGAGAAUGAACGCCACGCCUUCACCUGCCGGGUGGCAGGGGGGCCUGGCACCCCCAGAUUGGCCUGGUAUCUGGAUGGACAGCUGCAGGAGGCCAACACCUCAAGACUGCUGAGCGUGGGAGGGGAGGCCUUCUCUGGAGGCACCAGCACCUUCACAGUCACAGCCCAUCGGGCUCAGCAUGAGCUCAACUGCUCCCUGCAGGACCCCAGCAGUGGCCGAUCAGCCAACGCCUCUGUCAUCCUCAAUGUGCAAUAACUACCCCUGGCUCACCAACCAUACGGUGCAGCUGCAGCUCCGCAGCCUGGCACACAAUCUCUCGGUGGUGGCCACCAAUGACGUGGGUGUCACCAGUGCCUCGCUUCCAGCCCCAGG
This 558-nucleotide small RNA is filed under the name Pongo abelii (Sumatran orangutan). Its description in RNAcentral is "processed transcript". Lineage: Eukaryota; Metazoa; Chordata; Mammalia; Primates; Hominidae. The record is from RNAcentral.